GGCGCACAGCGUAAGGCCUGCAGUCGGCCAUGAGGUCUGCUGCUCCUGAGCCUCAGGCUGUACACUAAGAGAAGGAACAGCAGACAAAACCAGGACCAGCCCGGAGCAGAGCAGAGCAGAGGUUAAGGAGGUUUUUCACAGAGGAGAACCAGGGAGAAAGACGAGGAGAUGGUCCUCGACCCUCCUCCUGAUGAUCUAGCUGUGCUGUCUCCAGACUCACGUGAUG
This is a long non-coding RNA of Cheilinus undulatus (humphead wrasse), 226 nucleotides long. RefSeq lists it as uncharacterized. NCBI's taxonomy places the organism in Eukaryota, Metazoa, Chordata, Actinopteri, Labriformes, Labridae. The transcript is spliced from 3 exons. The record is from RefSeq and is a predicted model, not a curated record.